Molecule: ribosomal RNA, 606 nt
Filed under: Eupeodes luniger
Lineage: Eukaryota; Metazoa; Arthropoda; Insecta; Diptera; Syrphidae
Description: eukaryotic LSU rRNA
Rfam family: Eukaryotic large subunit ribosomal RNA
Source: RNAcentral
AAGAGUACGUGAAACUGCUUAGAGGUUAAACCCGAUGAACCUGAAUAUCCAUUAUGGAAAAUUCAUCACUAAUAAUAUGAUAUUUAUAAUAUUAUAUAAAUGGUGUGCAAUUUUUCCAUAUAAGGACAUUGUAAUCUGUUAAUGUAAUAAAUAUUUAUCAUAAGAUCCAUUACUUAAGUUUAUUCGAAUUAGUUAUUUUCGGAUUUCUAACAUAGGAUAAAUGUUUUGGAUUUGAUAAAUCAUUGACAGAUAUAAUUAUAUAAUGUGCUUAAAUUUUUCGGAAUUUUAUCAAUGGUAGAUGAAUCUAAUGAUUUGUUUAUUUAAUUGUAUGCACUAUUAUGAUUAACAAUGCGAUAGAUUCAGGAUACCUUCGGGACCCGUCUUGAAACACGGACCAAGGAGUCUAACAUAUGUGCAAGUCAUUGGGUAUUUUUAAUAAAACCCAAUGGCGUAAUUAACUUAACUGUUAUAUAAUGGGAUUAGUUUAUAUUUUGUUAUGAAAUAUUAAUUCAAUCCCGGGGCGUUCUAUAUAGUUAUGUAUAAUAGUAUUUAUAUUAUUUAUGCCUCUAACUCGAGCGUACCUUGAGCAUAUAUGCUGUGACCCGA